RNAcentral lists this transfer RNA (71 nucleotides) under Roseburia faecis. Its description in RNAcentral is "tRNA-Gln". It matches the Rfam family "tRNA". From Rfam's summary of the family: Transfer RNA (tRNA) molecules are approximately 80 nucleotides in length. Their secondary structure includes four short double-helical elements and three loops (D, anti-codon, and T loops). RNAcentral also lists the same sequence under 1 other name. Lineage: Bacteria; Bacillati; Bacillota; Clostridia; Lachnospirales; Lachnospiraceae. The record is from RNAcentral.
UGGGCUAUCGCCAAACGGUAAGGCACAGGAUUUUGAUUCCUGCAUUCCGGGUUCGAAUCCCGGUAACCUAA